AUACGGAGGGUCCAAGCGUUAUCCGGAAUCAUUGGGUUUAAAGGGUCCGCAGGCGGUCAAUUAAGCCAGAGGUGAAAGCCCAUCGCUCAACGAUGGAACUGCCUUUGAUACUGGUUGACUUGAGCUAUACGGAAGUAGAUAGAAUAAGUAGUGUAGCGGUGAAAUGCAUAGAUAUUACUUAGAAUACCGAUUGCGAAGGCAGUCUACUACGUAUAUACUGACGCUGAGGGACGAAAGCGUGGGGAGCGAACAGGAUUAGAAACCCGAGUAGUCC
This 274-nucleotide ribosomal RNA is filed under the name uncultured bacterium. RNAcentral describes it as "partial 16S ribosomal RNA". It matches the Rfam family "Bacterial small subunit ribosomal RNA", at positions 523 to 796 of the family's 1533-position model. The record is from RNAcentral.